UCCGGUUUGAACUCUAGAGAUAGAGCUUCCCCUUCGGGGGCAAAGUGACAGGUGGUGCAUGGUUGUCGUCAGCUCGUGUCGUGAGAUGUUGGGUUAAGUCCCGCAACGAGCGCAACCCUUAUUGUUAGUUGCCAUCAUUCAGUUGGGCACUCUAGCAAGACUGCCGGUGACAAACCGGAGGAAGGUGGGGAUGACGUCAAAUCAUCAUGCCCCUUAUGACCUGGGCUACACACGUGCUACAAUGGGAAGUACAACGAGUCGCGAAGUCGCGAGGCUAAGCUAAUCUCUUAAAGCUUCUCUCAGUUCGGAUUGCAGGCUGCAACUCGCCUGCAUGAAGCCGGAAUCGCUAGUAAUCGCGGAUCAGCACGCCGCGGUGAAUACGUUCCCGGGUCUGUACCACACCGA
Molecule: ribosomal RNA, 405 nt
Filed under: Enterococcus faecium
Lineage: Bacteria; Bacillati; Bacillota; Bacilli; Lactobacillales; Enterococcaceae
Description: bacterial SSU rRNA
Rfam family: Bacterial small subunit ribosomal RNA
Source: RNAcentral